This 301-nucleotide ribosomal RNA is filed under the name uncultured bacterium. RNAcentral's name for it is "partial 16S ribosomal RNA". It matches the Rfam family "Bacterial small subunit ribosomal RNA", at positions 509 to 808 of the family's 1533-position model. The record is from RNAcentral.
CAGUAGCCGCGGUAACACCAGCAGCCCAAGUGGUGGUCGCGAUUAUUGGGCCUAAAGCGCUCGUAGCCGGGCCGGUAAGUCCCUUGUGAAAUCGGACGGCCUAACCGUUCGGCGUGCAAGGGAUACUGUCGGUCUUGAGGCCGGGAGACGUCCGAGGUACUCCGGGUGUAGCAGUGAAAUGCGUAGAGAUCGGAAGGAACAUCUGUGGCGAAGGCGACUAUCUGGGCCAACACUGACACUGAGGCACGAAAGCGUGGGGAGCAAACAGGAUUAGAUACCCGAGUAGUCCCUGUCUCUUAUU